This 1012-nucleotide ribosomal RNA is filed under the name Psathyrella conissans. Its description in RNAcentral is "eukaryotic LSU rRNA". It matches the Rfam family "Eukaryotic large subunit ribosomal RNA", at positions 1 to 904 of the family's 3401-position model. The record is from RNAcentral. Lineage: Eukaryota; Fungi; Basidiomycota; Agaricomycetes; Agaricales; Psathyrellaceae.
CCGUCUAUUGGUGCGAUAAUUAUCUACGCCGUGGAUCGGUUUGGCUUUCAGACCNAGNUUCUAACCGUCCUUAGGACAAUUCUUGACAUUUUUGCCCUCAGAUCAAGUAGGACUACCCGCUGCACUUAAGCAUAUCAAUAAGCGGANGAAAAGAAACUAACAAGGAUUCCCCUAGUAACUGCGAGUGAAGCGGGAAAAGCUCAAAUUUAAAAUCUGAUGGUCUUUGGCCGUCCGAGUUGUAAUCUAGAGAAGUGUUACCCGUGCCAGNCCGUGUAUAAGUCUCCUGGAAUGGAGCGUCAUAGAGGGUGAGAAUCCCGUCUUUGACACGGACUACUGGUGCUUUUGUGGUGCGCUCUCAAAGAGUCGAGUUGUUUGGGAAUGCAGCUCAAAAUGGGUGGUAAAUUCCAUCUAAAGCUAAAUAUUGGCGAGAGACCGAUAGCGAACAAGUACCGUGAGGGAAAGACGAAAAGAACUUUGGAAAGAGAGUUAAACAGUACGUGAAAUUGCUGAAAGGGAAACGCUUGAAGUCAGUCGCGUUGGCCGGAAAUCAACCCUGCUUUUGCUGGGCGUACUUUCUGGUCGACGGGCCAACAUCAGUUUUGACCGGUGGAAAAAGUCUAGGGGAAUGUGGCAUCUUCGGAUGUGUUAUAGCCCUUGGUCGUAUACAUCGGUUGGGACUGAGGAACUCAGCACGCCGCAAGGCCGGGUCUUUGACCACGUUCGUGCUUAGGAUGUUGGCAUAAUGGCUUUNNNNNNACCCGUCUUGAAACACGGACCAAGGAGUCUAACAUGCCUGCGAGUAUUUGGGUGGAAAACCCGAGUGCGUAAUGAAAGUGAUAGUUGAGAUCCCUGUCGUGGGGAGCAUCGACGCCCGGACCAGACGUUCUCUGACGGCUCCGAGGUAGAGCAUGUAUGUUGGGGACCCGAAAGAUGGUGAACUAUGCCUGAAUAGGGUGAAGCCAGAGGAAACUCUGGUGGAGGCUCGUAGCGAUUCUGACGUGCAAAUCGAUCG